CUCAGUUCAGAUUGUAGGCUGCAACUCGCUUACAUGAAGUCGGAAUUGCUAGUAAUCGCGGAUCAGCAUGCCGCGGUGAAUACGUUCCCGGGCCUUGUACACACCGCCCGUCAAGCCAUGAAAGCCGGGGGGUGCCUGAAGUCCGUGACCGCGAGGGUCGGCCUAGGGUAAAACUGGUGAUUGGGACUAAGUCGUAACAAGGUACC
This 206-nucleotide ribosomal RNA is filed under the name uncultured bacterium. RNAcentral describes it as "partial 16S ribosomal RNA". It matches the Rfam family "Bacterial small subunit ribosomal RNA", at positions 1287 to 1500 of the family's 1533-position model. The record is from RNAcentral.